Lagopus leucura (white-tailed ptarmigan) is the source of this 364-nucleotide long non-coding RNA. RefSeq lists it as uncharacterized. The record is from RefSeq and is a predicted model, not a curated record. The transcript is spliced from 4 exons. NCBI's taxonomy places the organism in Eukaryota, Metazoa, Chordata, Aves, Galliformes, Phasianidae.
UAUAUCUCUUAAUUCUUCCCGGAACUGCAGUACCUGAUUCUGGAAAGGCCAUAACUUCUUUCUUACAUCUGACAACUUUAUUGAAGAGAUGUGGGUGCCUUGUUGACUUGCUUUUACUGAAGGUCUGAGCAAUUCUGCUGCAUCAGAUUUCAGGAGAUGUUCACUGGCCUGAACAAAGUGCCACCAGCAUUUUUACUUCUAGAUUUCUAGAGAGCUUGACAUAGUUCCUUGCAAGAUCCCUGGAGCUGCUUCAUGUGAAAUAUCAUCCAGUCUCUCCUGAGACUAUUCAUGUCAACUGCAGCAGUCAUUCUGAUAGGUGUGCACAUUAACAGCAGGAAAGAGAAAAGAUGUGGAAUCCCAAAUA